RNAcentral lists this ribosomal RNA (859 nucleotides) under uncultured phototrophic eukaryote. Its description in RNAcentral is "bacterial SSU rRNA". It matches the Rfam family "Bacterial small subunit ribosomal RNA", at positions 75 to 975 of the family's 1533-position model. The record is from RNAcentral.
AUCCUUCGGGAUGAGUGGCGGACGGGUGAGUAACGCGUGAGUAUCUGCCCUAAGGUGGGGGACAACCAUUGGAAACGAUGGCUAAUACCCCAUAUGCCGAGAGGUGAAAGGUUUACUGCCUUGGGAUGAGCUCGCGUCUGAUUAGCUAGAUGGUGGGGUAACGGCUUACCAUGGCGACGAUCAGUAGCUGGUCUGAGAGGAUGAUCAGCCACACUGGGACUGAGACACGGCCCAGACUCCUACGGGAGGCAGCAGUGGGGAAUUUUCCGCAAUGGGCGAAAGCCUGACGGAGCAACGCCGCGUGAGGGAGGAAGGUCUUUGGAUUGUAAACCUCUUUUCUCAAGGAAGAUAAUGACGGUACUUGAGGAAUCAGCAUCGGCUAACUCCGUGCCAGCAGCCGCAGUAAUACGGGGGAUGCAAGCGUUAUCCGGAAUUAUUGGGCGUAAAGCGUCCGUAGGCGGCCAGAUAAGUCUGUUGUUAAAGCGUGCAGCUCAACUGCAUAUCGGCAAUGGAAACUAUUUGGCUAGAGUGUGGUAGGGGUAGAGGGAAUUCCCGGCGUAGCGGUGAAAUGCGUAGAUAUCGGGAAGAACACCAGUGGCGAAAGCGCUCUGCUGGGCCACAACUGACGCUGAUGGACGAAAGCUAGGGGAGCGAAAGGGAUUAGAUACCCCCGUAGUCCUAGCCGUAAACGAUGAACACUAGGUGUUGUCUGUAUCGACCCGGACAGUGCCGUAGCUAACGCGUUAAGUGUUCCGCCUGGGGAGUACGCACGCAAGUGUGAAACUCAAAGGAAUUGACGGGGGCCCGCACAAGCGGUGGAGUAUGUGGUUUAAUUCGAUGCAACGCGAAGAACCUUACC